This is a long non-coding RNA of Setaria italica (foxtail millet), 683 nucleotides long. RefSeq lists it as uncharacterized. NCBI's taxonomy places the organism in Eukaryota, Viridiplantae, Streptophyta, Magnoliopsida, Poales, Poaceae. The record is from RefSeq and is a predicted model, not a curated record. The transcript is spliced from 3 exons.
UUUUAGCCCGGCGCCCGGCGCUACAUAAGGACCCGGCCUCUGGUCUCGUCUCUCCAUCCGCCAGCUCGUGUCAUCCCAUCCCAGUGAUCAGUCCUUGCUUGGCUUCCGGAGUUCCAGUCACCAGCCAGCCAGUCAGCCAGCCAUGAGCUACCAGCAGGGAGGAGCUUACCCGCCGCCGGGCACGGCGUACCCUCCGCCGGGCCAGCAGGCGUACCCGCCGCCGGCCUACGGCGCGCCGCCCCCCAUGGCCGCCGGCUACCCGCCACCGCCGCCGCCGCAGCAGGAGAAGGGCGGCAACGACGGCUUCUUGAAAGGAUGCUUGGCGGCCCUCUGCUGCUGCUGCGUGCUCGACAUGUGCUUCUGAGCUCUCCUCUCCAGUGAUGGCGGCGCGUCCAGACCCAGAUCGAUUCCUGCAGGGACGCGAAUGAAUGGAGCUGUUUUCUGAGUCAUGAUGCUUCUUUGAUUCCGUCGUGUAUAUGCUUUGUUGCCGCUAUUAUGAUUUUAGUAUUGUGAUCAUGGGGUUGGUGUACCUGCAACUCCAUCUCUAGACUUCACUAGUUCAUCCAAGUUUUUCUUUCUGGAGUUCGUGUGUGUGCUCUGGAAAAAGAGAACAUUUCCGAUCAAUUUGUACUUGGUUUGGUGCUUCAUUAUUGCCGUACUCCUUAACUUCUCCUGAAAAUCAA